ACUGUUGUGAAACGAUUCAUACUGCAAGCCGCCUAAAUGCAGGGCUUUUGAUGAUAUUCCCCGCCAACAAGGGUGUUUUGAAGAGAGUGAAGGAAACAGACAGGACUUUGAAAGGAAAAACAGACAUCUAAUUGGCUGUCUCUUGCCGACCCUCCAGUGACCCUGCACUGAAUACCUCUAAUGGACGUGUGUGAUCUUGGAGCCUCUACCGCAAUAAACGAGUUUUAGACUUUCAACUUGUUUUUGCAGCAGAAUUCUUUAUUCUCCUUAAAAUUGAUUUUUUAAAAAACGAGUGAGCAAGGCAUUAGCAUAGGUAUUUUACACAAAAGGGUGAAAUGGUUUUCUAAUUUUAUAGAUUUAAUAUUUUUAAAAAGAAUUUGGCUUCAUUAUGAAUUUAGUUCAUGUUAGUGUGUCAUUUUACAUACUCUAAAAAGUGGUUUUUUUAAUAUGGAAAGCAAAUAUUUGCCUUCAAAGCAGUAGUUUCUAAAUCCAAAAAGUUCAGAAAGUCAGUUAGGAGGCAAUAAUCUUAACUCCAAAAAUUAAUAACUCUCAUGACAUUGUUUAUGUGAAACCUUGGAACUUCCUGUGCUGUAAACCAUCUUUGAGUCAAGCUAGAAAAUAGUAAGAGUCAACUCAAAUCCUUUAUGCUUCAAAAAACACAUGAGACUAUUGAACAGGCUUUAUUAAGUGAUGUGGGGGUUAACGGUGAAAGCCCCCAUUUCUAUUUUUGUCAAAAGACUAGGAGCCUCAUCCCCAUCAGAGAGCUUUGCAUUUCCCCUGCCACCUUAACUUCCUGGGAACUGCCAGGGUACACUACCUCCUUUCUUUUCUUCUUUUCUCCCUUUUCACUAUCUAGCAUUUCUUCCCUUUUAUUGUUCUUUCUUCACGUCCAUGUUGACCUUUUUUUUUUUAACUUAUCAUCUAGGAUGAGUCAAGGCCUGCCUUGAUGUUGCUCUGUGUCCUACCAGCAAUUCUUCCUGGAAUCGUCUGUUCACAUGGAUGUCUAAAUGUUUAAGCACCCAUGUAAAUACUAUGGUAUCACUUUCUCAUCAGUAGAGCUUUUGUGAGUUACAGAAAGGCUGAGACCAAUGCCACAAUUUGAGAUUCCAAUAUGUGAAAUAAUAAAGACAUCCCCUAACAGGACUUUUUAAUAAAUUAGGCUUUAACAUUUGAUAUUUAUAAUGUUUUCUGAGAGUGUUCAAUAUAACAGAGAGUAGUAUUCCAGUUAUUAUAUAUAUUUAUUUGGAAAUAAUGCCAAAACUCUACAUUGUAGGCAUGAAGGUGGGGCUUGCCUCCAUCUGGCUCUCCUGCCACUUUCAACAACACACCCCACAUCCGAUCCUGCUUAGAGUCGAAGAUGAAUCUGGCAUAAUACAAACAGCACUGGACUGGAAGCAUGAAGUUUCUCUUAUCUGUGCCUUGGUUUCCUCAUGUGGAAAAUGAAAAUGUUGACAUAAAUAAUCACACAGGUCUCUGUUAGUACCAUUUUGUGAUUUUAUAUCGUGCUUACCACACCUAGAAACAGGGGCCAUCAUUCCAGCCAGCUAACAGAGAAAAAGACGAUACAUAAUCAGGCUUGGGAAAAUAAAUUUCAGAGACCAAGUAAACAAAGACAACAAUCUAGUAUAAGGGUUAUAACUGGGGGAUGAGGGGUUGCAAAUGGAGAUCUGCCACAGUCAACUCUAUUUGGAUUCCCCUGUUCUCAACAGGCAACAGCAAUCAUAAUGGGCUUGGAGCACCAGUCCCACAACAUCACAGGACAUCCAGACAUAAUUGCAUUAAUAAUGUUGUGCAUAAUCGCACAACUCUCUGGUUAUUCAGCAUCGUCCAAUAUGUGAAUAAAGCUCUGAGGAAAAAUUAAUGCUUGCUUAAUGCUUUGACACAUUUCCCUUUACAAAGCAAAGAUCCCUACUCCUCUCACUUUCUCACAUGGAGAAAAAAUUAAAGUAGCAUUACAACUAGUCAGCAUCCACAUGAGGCCUUAUAAUUAAUCAGAUCUACUGAGAGUUAGGUCCAAGAUCCAGCGUAAGGAGAGAUCAAGCAGAAACAAAAUACACAGCCAUUGCUCUGUAUCUGUAGGAGAUUGGUUCCAGAACCCCCUUCAAUACCAAAAUCUGCAGAUGCUCAAGUGCCUUAUAUAAGAUGGUAUAGUAUUUGCAUAUAACCUACGCAUACCCUCCUGUAUACUUUAAAUCAUCUCUAGAUUACUUACAAUACCUAAUAUAAUGUGAGUGCUACGUAAAUGGUUAUACUGCAUUUUUAUUUGUAUUACUUUUAUUGUUGUAUUAUUACUUCUUUUUUUUUUUUACAAUUAUUUUUAAUCUGUGGUUGCUCAAAGCUGCAGAUGUGGAACCCAGGAAUAUGGAGGCCCAACUGUACUUUUACCUUAUUAUGUAGGCUAUGCUAAUAUUAAUGACUAGAAUGUUAUAUUAUUUCUUCUCAGAUUUCAACAACAGUUGAGCCUCAGGGUCAAAGUAUCCGGCACUAAAUUGAAGAGAAUGCUGAUGAUUAGGACAGGAAAGCAACUUAAGCAUCUAUUAGUCCAGCCUACUAUGAAAAGUAGGAAUUCCUUCAACAAAAUUCUCGCACAUGCCUAUCCAACUUCCCAAUGACUAAAGCAAUAACAACAGUAAUGAUAAUAAUGAACACAUAUUUCAUACUUACUGUGUGCCAGACACUGUCCUAAGUAUAUUGAGUAGUACUGACUGUGAAUCAGCACUGUUCCUAGAACUUCAUAGACACUCAACUUAUUGAAUCUUGAAAAUGCCUCUAGGAGGUAGGAUCUAUUAUUGCUCUUAUUUUAUAGAUGAAUCAAUGGAAACAGAAAAGAGUUCACUAACUUGCCAGAGGUCACACAGAUAGACUGAGAAGAGCUGGACAAUUGCACUAAACAGACUAGCCCUGUAGCCUGUCCUGCUAAUUCUAUGCUACCAAUAGGGGCAAGGGACAGAGACAAAGUAGGGAAUUAGAGUCCAUUUCAACACUACUUUAAUUACUCAGUUUUCUGAGCAGAAGCUGCCUCCUUUAGUCUUCAUAUUGCCCACUAGUUCUAAACAGAAUAAUUAUUCCUCCUUCCAUUUGACAGUGCUUUUUUAUCAAAGAUUGACAAACUAUGGCUCGUAGGCCAAAUCUGGCCCACCAUCUGUUUUUAUGUGGGCCAUGAGCUAAGAAUGGAUUUCAAGUUUUCAAAUGGUUGGAAAAAAUAUCAAAAGAAGAAUAAUAUUUUGUGACACAUGAAAAUCACAUGACAUUUAAAUCUCAGUGUCCAUAAAUGAAGUCUUAUUGGAACACAAUCACACUUCACUUACAUAUUGUCUGUGGCUGCUUUUACUUUACUAUAAGUCGGAAUUAAGUACUUGAAAAAAGACCACAUGGCCCAGUAAAGCCUAAAAUAUUUACUAUCUGGCCCAUUGCAGAGAAUGUUUGCUGAUUCUUGCCUUAAAUAGUAGAAGGUAGUUCUCCUGUCCUUUCCUAAAAGUGCCCUUUUUUAUAGUAAAAUACCUCAGGUCCCCCCAACCACCACCAUCUCAUUAUCCCGGAAACUCUUCUCUGGCAUUCUUUGGUGCAUAUUCUCUCUCUCUAAAAAUUCUCCUCAGUGGUAUAUGGCUACAAUGGAAUACUACUCAACAAUAAAAAGGAACAAACUACAGUGGAUACACACAACAACAUAAUGAAUCUCCAAACCACUAUUCUGAGUGAAAAAGCCCUGCACAUCUUUUUCUCACUGCGUGAUUGUAUCUACAGGAAAUCCUAAAAUGGGUAAAACUAAUCUAGGGUGAAAAAUUAUAUAUCAGAAUAAUGGUUGUCUUUGGGAAAAUGGGGCAAGGAUUGGUGGGAUGGGCAUGAGAGAACAAUCUGGGAUGCUAGAAACAUCCCAGAUCUUGAGAGUUGUUUGGGUUACACAGUUGUGUGUAUUUGCCAAAAUCCACCAAAAUGUACAUAGUUUGUACAUUAUACUGUAUCUACCUCAAAAACAAACCUUGUAAAUAAAUAUUGAAUUCUAGUUAAUGAUCUGCAUACUGAAAGGUUUAGUGGUAACAGUAUCAAGGCCUGCAACUCAUUUGAAAUGCAUCAGAAAAUCAAGACGGUUGGAUGAUUGGGUGGAGGGAGGGACAGAUGGCAAGAGAUAUGAAAAAGCAAGAGAAGUAAAGUGUUCAUUGUCGAAAGUGGUUGAUGGAUACCUGGAUGUUCACUAUCUAAUUCUUUCACCUCCUCUGUUUAAGUCUUGUGACAACAAAAUUUCCUUCUAAAAUAACAUUUUCAAAGUAAAAUUUUUAUAAUAAAUGGGGCAGAAAGGAUAAAAGUAAUGUCUGGCAUGAAACAAACUACUCUAAAAGUUGCACAAAGCGACAUCACUAUUUCCCUUCCUUUGGCCAUUUUUAUGUUAGCAUUUAUUUUCCUUUGAUGUAUCUGAUUGGACCCUGAAGUAUCCUACCUUCAAGGUAUCCAAAAAGGUAUCUUGGGUAUCACCGUUAGGACUAGUGAUGAGAAUUUAUUCUAUGAUGGAAUCUAAUUCCAUGGCAAGUGGCCAACUUUCAUUUCUUUGUUUAAAUUUUAUGAUAAGAGAUGCAUACAGUGAAAGACAUAGAAACAUCCCCAGUCAGAUGCCUCCGCCAAAUCCGCUUGUGGAAAACUGUAAAUUCCACAAGUGAGUUUACGCUCUUGUCUCAUGAAUGUGUAGAAAGAAUAAUGCAUUUGUUUGUUUGAUUAUAGCUGAAUUUCUGCCUUUGUAACCCCACCAGUAGGUGGUCAUGUAUUUCUCAUACUAAGGUUCACUACCACUUCACAAACAAUAUGCUCAACACUGUUGCAAGCAUCAGAUGAGAGUGUGUGCCUGACAAAAAUUUGAAAAAGUCCUCAAAAUAUGCAGCCUAAUCUCUGGAUUAACUGUUUCUUUAAAGGGCCUCUGCAGUGUAUAAUCUGCAGACUUGUUCUGUUGCUUUUAUGCAAUGCCAAUAUUAUUAGUAGCAAUAAUACAAUCACGCUUCAACUAUUUGGAGGUCAAUUAGCUGGAAAGUUCUGCCUUCUGAAUGGAAGCUAAGAAACCAGUAAGUAAGCAAGAAAAAUCCUGUGGGCAGUCAAAAUAGCUGCAAAAGCUUCAGGGUGCCAAGCUCAUAUAUUUGCUCAUGGAAGACUCUCUAAAGCCAAUGCUCAAAAUCCUAUGACACUUAUUUAUGCAAAAUUCUAACAAGCCUGGGUUUCCAGCUCAUAACCCUAACAGAGGUUGCAUAUAGGCAGGCAUGGUGAAAGCACCAAGAAUCAGAAGAGUAAUCAGCCAUCAUUCAAAACUCAAAAAGGACUACAAUUUGGGAGGAUGGAAUUCAGGGGUGGAAAAGUCCACCCUAAUGCUACCAAGUUAACAUUUUAUAAACUAUGUUCCUAAAAUUAUAGUUCCACAAGAUAUUAAAGAAGGUUUUUUAAAAAUAAAAAAGAGGACUGGGAGUGGUGACUCACACCUGUAAUCCCAACACUUUGAGAGGCUGAGGCAGGAGGAUUGCCUGAGCCCAGGAGUUCUAGACCAGCCUUGGCAGGAUAGUGAGACCCCCUCUCUACUAAAAACCAAAAAAAUCAGUUGGGUGUGGUGGCAUGCGCCUGUGAUCCCAGCUAGUCAGGGAGCUGAGGUGAGAGGAUCACUUGAGCCCAGGAGGUCGAGACUGCAGUGAGCUGUGAUCGUGCCACUGCACUCCAGCCUGGGUGACAGAGCAAGACUGUAUCUCAAAAAAUUAAAAAAAGUAAAAAUUAAAAAUAAGAGGAGGUGCUAUCCUCAGAUAUGUUUAGAAAAUACCGGUCUAAUAGUGCUUCAAUAUUUCUAUUGUGAUUCUAGCAAGUUCUAAAAAGAACACUGGUUUUGUGGUUGUUCUUCCUUUCCUCACUCCACAUUUUUUCUUUUAUUUUGGCUGAAACUUACAGAUAUUUUUUUUUUCUCAUCAUAAUGAUGUCCAUCAGUCUGCCCGAAUCUUCUGGUCUGGGUGUGGCUCUGACUUUUCAAAUACCCUUCUUAAGCAGGUGUUUCCUCUCCUGCCCCAAACAUUGUAUUCCCUUUCGUUUGUGUUGUAUAGAUUCCAGGCCACAUUUCUACUUUUUGAGGACAGCUUCCAAACCAUCCACAUGUUCACUUUCUUUUCCACUUCCCUCGGUUUUCACUUCCUACUUCCUUUCCCCAUCUUUUUCCUCUCCAGAUUGUAUGCCAGGCAUUCUUUGCCUAUACUCUGCUUUGAAAUCCUUCCUGCAUUUCCUCUCUAUCUCACAGCUUUGCAAUUUUUGCUACUCUUGCUCCCUUCCUGCGUAUUUCCUUCAUAUCUUGAAUCCCAACUACCUCUCCUCUCCUGCCAAAUCAAAUGCAUCAGCUGAAAGCCACCUGAAAAUCCCUCUUCUCUUCCCAUCUGUGCAACCCCACUAGUUUACCUUUAACAUGCAUUGUUCCUAAGUGAACCCACCAGCUUGCAUGGGGAGAAGGGAUAUUAGUUUAUUCUUCUUUCCUGGCAGCCCUUGAGUACAGGGCUAUGAGCCCCUCUGACAAAUACUGUCCUCCAUGUCAUCAACAUUGGAUUUUGAGUCAGUAGAACUGUGUUCCAUCUUAAACUCUGCCUCUUAUUUACUUGGCUCAGUCACUUAAUUUUUUUGAACCUCAGUUUCCACAUCUAUAAAAGGGCAAUAAUCCCUGAUUUAUCCCAGGGGGCUGAGUGGAGGCAAUGAGGCCAUGUUUGUGCAAGCUCUUCAGCGCGUGGUGGAUGUGACAAUUUUAUUCUUUCACUUGAAAAUUUUAUUCAUAUUUGAGGUCCUGGGAGUAGAGCUUCAUUCUCUUUCUUUACUUUCCUAGAGAUGGGGUCUCAUUUUGUCACCCAGGCUGGAGUGCAGUGGCGUGUUCACUGCAGUCUCGACCUCCUGGGCUCAAGAGAUCCUCCUGCCUAAGCUUCCCAAGUAGCUGAGACUACAGGCUCACACCACCACUUCUGGCUCAUUCUCUUUUAUAGUCUUAAUUUCUUCUGGUUCUACCAGGUUUUUGUUUACUGUUUACGUACACCAACUGAGUUCUCCAGUUUGAUCAGAUCACAGACUUGUCAAGAGGGAGCCUGUAUUAAUAGCAAAGUGGUUAACUGCAUGAUCACCAUCUUCCAACAUUCUGGCUGAAAACCUGACUCCAUCAUUUAGCAGGUGCAGGAAAUUGGGAAAGUCCACUUAUCCUGGACUUCCUGUUUCCUUACCUUUUUCUUCUUUUCUUUUUUUUUUUUUUUUCGAGACAGAGUUUCACUCUCGUUGCCCAGGCUGGAUUGCAAUGGCACAAUCUCCACUCACUGCAACCUCCGCCUCCCAGGUUCAAGCAAUUCUCUUGCCUCAGCCUCCUGAGUAGCUGGGAUUACAGGCGCCUGCCACCAGGCCCGGCUAAUUUUGUAUUUUUAGUAGGGAUGAGGUUUCUCCAUGUUGGUCAGGCUGGUCUCAAACUCCCGACCUCAGGUGAUCCACCCGCCUCUGAGAUUACAGGUGUGAGCCACCAUGCCCAGCCCCUCAUCUUUAAAAUGGGGUGACUUCUGUAGUGAGUGAGGCCACUAAGGAAGGUCACUGUGAUGAUUAUGAGUCCAAAGGAGUGAGAUCUUAGCCCACAUGGUUAUUAGCCCUGCCUCUUUGCCCCUGCCUCGGUUUUCUUCCUUGGUUCCUCCAUUCUCCAUUUCUCACUGUUGUCUCUCUCUUCCUGUCACCCCACGGUGGUGCAAGCUGGUGCUCCCUGCACAUCCAGUAAAAUGUCAGGGGAAAAGUUCAGCCGUUGCAGCCUCCCGAGGGGCUGCUCUCCUUGGGCUGCUGCUGGCUGUGUGGCUCCUCCUUCCUCCCCUGGAUUCUUUCCUGGCAUCCUCCCGUGUUUUCACUGUCUUUCUGAUUAGAGAGUAUGUCAGUGGGGCAGGAUAAUUUACUGAUAUAUUAAUUUGUGUUUUUAUCUCAGCGUUUGCCCUCUGCUCUACAAAGGAAGUCAGGCCUCUCUGUGCCCCUGCCUCGAGGGAGGUUUGUUUUAAAAGUCCAAAGCCAAGACACCUGGCUUUUGUUUCCCCAAAGCUCAAGCUGUGGGAGGAGAUAAUGCCAGCAGGGAGGAAGAGGGGAGAAGCUCGAGGCCUUUGAGAGGAGGGAGAGAGAGAGGCAGGGAGACAGAGAGAGAUUUUGAUAGAUGGAAAGGGGGCGAAGGCCAGAGAAGCAGGCCACUUACAGACAAGCCACAAUCCAUGGCAGCCCCUGCAGAAGCGGCUGCCUCUCAGAGAGGAUGAGCGUGGACCACUGGCCCCUAAUCCCAGGCUGACAGAUGCAGCAAAUGCGCCACCCAAAGUUCCCAGCACCCAACACGCUUGUGGGCAGCACAGCCACAAGAGGGAAGCUCAGGUAGGUGGGGACAGUGGCAAGCAGAAGAGAGAAGAGACAGGGACAGCUAGAACCGUAAAUCAGAACAUCUAAUGUUUGCUGCCCACUCAGAACGUGCUAAGCACCAUUCUAGGAUCUUGGCAAAUAUUAGAAUGGUCACUCCUGAAGACAACCCUCCAUCCCCACAUUCACAGCAGAGGAAACAGAGGAACACAGAAGUAAAUUUUCCAAGAUCACACAACUGGGACAUGGUAAAACCAGAUACAUAGAAAUAUUGAGAGACCACCAAUUUAUUGCAAAAUGCUAAGAACGAAAUACUGCAUAGGCCAAAAAAUAAUACAGAAACUGAAAACACAAACCCCUCUGAGUGCCACUGGAAGAAAACUGCAGCAAGGCCUGGACUCUUUCUAGGCUUCACUAGCUCUGUAAGUGCUAUUCCAUUGUAUUUUGAUCAUGGAAGUAUUAUCUUUCUUCAGAUAAAUCAGAGGUGUGUAUGUUCAGAGCAUAAGGAAUAGCCUGGGAUUUCCCAGUUCCCCUUUCAGUUAUCUGGCUUCCUAAUUUACCCUGUGAACACUACCUGACCUUGCUACAUCUUAUUUACCUUUCUCAUCUGUAAAAUGGGUGUAGGGAAUCACCUAGGCUAGCAUUUAUGAUCACUGAGUACCUGUUCCAUAAUUAGGAGCUGUUAUUAUCAUUGGCAUCCCCAUGUCCAGUCCUGCUUAGUCUUAGAGCCUACCCAGCACCUAGGCUGCCUUUACUAUCUCUGCAGGUCAGACACAGUGCUGGGUGCUGAGUCCUGUCUCUCAAUGCCUCCCCCGUCUAGUUGGAGGAGAGAACCAUGAGCAGAUCUUUAGUGUAAUAUGAUAAGUGCUACAGACAGAAUAAUCCCAGUAUCCCACAGGGGCCCAGGAUGAGGCCCCUAGCCAUACUGCAGGCUGGGAAUGAGGGCAGAUUUCCUGCAGAAGUUAACGGCCUGAGUCUUCACAAACAACGGUAACCUCCGCUGCCUCACAGUGGGGAGUGGGCCAGAGCCUCCCCACUCCCUCUUCCAGCCCUCAAAAAUGGCUCUUGAGCCUGAACACACUCCUAACACCGCCCCAGCAGCUAAUUUGAGAGUUCUGAGCUACGCCUAACUUGCAUCAUUCUGGGCCACAGACCAAGCCAGCAGCGAAGAAGCCAAGAGCGUUCAGGGCUGCCGACGCAUUCCAUAAACCCAAAUUUCCAGUGUUGCCUUGAGUAAGAUGUAUACAGGAAAUUUUCCAUGUGUCAAUUAAGCUCAUUGAGCAUGUGACAUAAAAAGGAAAUGUAAUGUGGGAUUCUGAUUGGCAAAGUUCAAAAGCCUGUGAUUUUGAUACCCAGAUAUAGAUCUGCAAGCUAUUAAGAGUACUUGACUUGCAACAUCCAGAGGUUGUGAAGAAACGCCUGGCACAUCAGAGGAAAAAAAUGCAGCGCUGAAUAGCAGUCUUGGGAAAAUACUUACUUCCCAGAGUAAAAUGUACACAUUAAAUGAGUUCAAGAAGCAACUCAACUGUUCUACUUCUCUAUCAUUUCAAAAUCCCCUAACAGAUGUUCAGUUUUCAAAGAAAAUAAUGUUGCAUUUUGACCGUUUUCCCCUCUAGAUGCCCUAGACGGAUGUGAGGUUGUCAUACUAACCUUGACUUUGAAUUGCUUUUCAGUUCAUGUCAUUGUAAACUUAGCAUAAAACCCCGUGCUUCCCUGGAAAGUAUGUAUCUUGUUGCUAGCACAAUGAUUGAGUCCACUUGUCUAUUCCAGGACACGAGAGGAUCUAACUAAGUCAGAACACCCCACGUCUAGCCCAUAUAUCUAUUUAUUACCGAAUUCACCGGGAAAGACAAGCUGAGUUAUCACUUAGCUGAAAAAACCUGAGAGGCAUUUAUGUGCAUGAAGUACAGCAUAGACAGAACCAUCAAGGCAGGCUUGAAGGAAACACAUUACACACUCAGCCUACACAAAUCGCCUCACCGAUGCCACUGGAGCCGAAUGAAUGGUGCAGGCGACAAGAGCGGCCCUAGGAUGCUUAUCUUCUCCCCAGCCCCCAUCCCAACCCUCAACGAUUACGAAUACAAUCGUUUGUGACAGAUUGCUCCCCAGUCUUCCGCCUUAAAUUCUAUAUGAUAAAUUCAACAUGAAGUGACAGUCACAGCAAGUGUUCAGAGCUCUAUCUAAAAAAACUAAUUUUACUGAAGUUAGGACUCAAUGAACAAGAAAAUGUGAAGGUACACCUAAGGCGGAUCUCAAAACUUUAAUCUCUAUGAAUUCCAUCAUGGUUAUUUACAGCUGGGAUGAUAUUAAUAUUUUAAAAUAUUUCGCUAAAGAAGCACUAUGAGACUUUAAAGUUGUAUUGUUAUGCAAAGGUGGAUAAUAUCUCAAUGGGUCCUCCCCAGUGCUGGUAUGUUAAUGGGGCAAGAGAAAGAGAACAGCUGCUUUUGUUACCCAAGCAGCAGACAUAACAACACUGUCCUGUGGUUAAUUUCUAGGAAAACGCUCUUCUUCCUUUUUUAUUAUUUGGGGGUGAAAAAAUGUCUUGGGCUACUAUUGUCUGUUUAAAUUAGGCAAAUGCAAUUAAGAAGAGUCAAAUGUACACAGGCUCCAAUGAUGGGUAAAAUUAAGGUCACCAGUUGCAGCCCUAAUCCAGCUGCAUUGCUUAAUCUCAGCUUUAGCCAUUACCAUUGUGUGGAAUGGAAAUGUCUUCCUCGUGUUGGGGUUAAUGUGGACUGACUGGGUAGCUGGAGAUCAAUCCUGCAGGCCUGCUUGAAUGUGCAAGUGCUUAACACUGACAUUUUGAAAAAGUAAAAUUGGGUUUCAUUCCCCAGGAUUAGGUCAGAGUCCUUUACUUGUCCCUGCCCCUGCCCCCGACCCCGCCUCCCCAAACUAAGCAGAGAGCAGAAGAACAUUUUUUCUUGCCAAUUGUUUUUUUUUUUUUUUCCCCCUCAGGGAUCCUUCGCAUUUGCCAUUUGUGUACAUCUCUUGCUCAUUCCAAACAGGAAAGUUCUGUUGCCUCAGAAAAAAUAGCUUGUCUGAGCCCUCAGAAAAAAUAGCUUGAAAAGGAACUUGUCUUCCUUUUCAUAUUCAUAAAGGUUAUAUUUGUGUGGCUUGAUAUUAUUUUACCUUGUUAAGGAGUUGUUUCAGGUACUCAGUAGAUAUAGAGAAAACAUUUAGCAUAUAAAAACAAAAAGUUGACAUUUACAGCCAGGAGCUAGGUACGCAAUUGCAAAGGUCAUCAAUGAGUAAACAGAUAUUAAUGGUUAGCCGGAUAACUGGUACAUAAACAGGUCACAUUAAUAAUUAACACCAGGAAAAGCUAGCACUUCCAACCAAGCUCAGGAAAGUGGGUGCCAGAGGAACCCCCCGAAAAAUAUAAGAAAACCCCAGUGGUGAUUUCUGAUUGUUAGAGAGUGAGAAAAUUACUUCUUCAUUUUUACAUUUCUCAUAUUCUCACCAAAAAACAGUUCUGAGACAGUCAUGAUAGGAAGUAAGUGCAAGGAUGGAGGGAAUUUUCUGGACGAUCAUUGAUCUGGUAAAUUGUACUUAGUCUAACAUUUGUGGUUCCCUUGUUUUCCUUCCAUGGCAAUGGGUAAAAUCACUCAGGAAAUUUAUUUUAUCACUAACCUGCAAAGCCUCUGUAAAAGUAUUUGCUUCCUCAUUGAGUUAUUAAGUCCAUGCCUUGUUUUAAAACUUCUGCGCUAAGAGGGUUACAUUUUGUACCUGCUGAUUGGCAUUCACCCAGUUUUUUAAUGGGAAAAGGUCAAGUCCAAGCUGUAGACAGGAAGGCAAAGGUGUUGGGGAUGUGGCAGGGAAUCCUGGUGAGUGAAGUGGGUGCCCCAGGCACCCUGAGGAACCUGGGAGUGAAUGUGCCUUAGCCCCACAGCGAGCCCCUAAGAGCCACAGCAUCAUAUCUUUUGAUUUUUUAAAGAAGCCAUAUUUUGUGUGAAAUCUCUAGAUUUAUAACUCAUGGGCCAAACAAUACGUUAUCUACUGCAGGCCACACCAGGCCAGUUUAAAUCUCCUGUUUAAAUUAAAAACAAAUAAAUAAACAAACAAAAAAGAACGCCCGAAAAUUUGCCAAUGAGGAGGAAAGUCUGAGUGUAUCUCUACAAUUUAUUCAACGGUUUCUCUUCUCCUUUAAAUACACAGUUCACUAUAGGAUUGUCCUAAAGAGAAAACUAAUAAAAUAAGACAAUAGACUUCAUAGAGAACUGGAAUAUCCGCAAGGACCUGAAACGGAUCCUCGGAACUCCGUAGAUAAAAGUCAGAUGAGAUACUGUUAUACAUGUAGCCUAAUGGUUUACAGAUGAAUGAGUAGCACUGCUUUCAAAUAUAAUGUGAAGAAACCAAUUUUUAAAUAAAUGUGUAGCUUGACUAUCAAGCCCACAGGAGAUACUGUGACUUACCCAACCUGAAAAUCAAAUUAUUUAAGGCUGGUCAUACUAAUAGCAGCCUCUAACCAACCGCUAAGGUGGACUAUCAACCCAGACUAGCCACAGGCAGCAAACGAGAUGGGUUCAAGAGGAAAUGGAAAGAAAUAAGAUACAAGGCUUGUUUACUAGUUAAAUGUGGGUAGACUUCAACAGAUGUGAACUACAAAGUGUAUAUGGGAACUUGUUUCUUGCUGAAGGACGAGUGUUGGCCAAAUGUCCUCAUAACCUGGUGCCUCUCCACUUCUCCACAGCCACAUCCCCACCACACGGUACCUUGUCACCACUGACAACAGCCCCAGAGAGCCAUGCUUUCUCCUGUCUCCCAGACUCUCUUCACCUCGAGUAUCUCCAUGUCACCCUUACUUUCGC
RNAcentral lists this long non-coding RNA (13151 nucleotides) under Homo sapiens (human). Its description in RNAcentral is "HSALNT0383501". Lineage: Eukaryota; Metazoa; Chordata; Mammalia; Primates; Hominidae. The record is from RNAcentral.